Long non-coding RNA from Lactuca sativa (garden lettuce), 1109 nucleotides. RefSeq lists it as uncharacterized. Lineage: Eukaryota; Viridiplantae; Streptophyta; Magnoliopsida; Asterales; Asteraceae. The record is from RefSeq and is a predicted model, not a curated record.
UCACGUUACUUCGUUGUUAGCAAGCUAAUUAAUUUUCCACAAAAUAAAAACAGAUAACAUGGUUGGGACACGGGACAUGUCAUUAUUAGGUUGGUUGCAGUUGACCCGUUCUCCACCUUCACUUCAAAAUACCAUACAAAAAAGGCAGGUGAAGUAAUUUGGCCAUUUGGGUAACCUAUUAAUUAAUACAGUUUCGACUUAAAAGACGCUAAAUAUUUAGGCUGAUGCAAUACGGGUCUGUCAGGUUUCUUUGAUCCAUGAUCAUCUUUUUUUCUUCCAUACUAAAUGACCUUAAACGAGAUACGUUUACGAAAAAAAUAAUAAUAAAAAAAUACAUGGCUCAUUCUACAUGCAUUAUAGUCAAUUCAAACCAUACAAAGACUCCAACUACAAACCACAUAUAUAUAAUAUAUAUGCACCAUCAUGAUCAUGUAUACACCAUACUUACAUGCAUUGACGUUAUAAUAAAAUGAAGGUCUAAUCAUAUAAAUGUUACGCCUGUUUCUGGUAUUAUUUAAAAUCAUAAUUUAUUUAUUUUUGUAUAGAAACUCGACAAGUUGGAGGCCCCAAACUGGUCGAGUAGGGAUGUAAUUAGGACGCAAGUUAAGAAGUCUACUCGACGAGUUGAGAACCCUCAACUCGACGAAUAGACUGACAAAAUGAAACCCUAAUUUUCAAGGUUUUGCACCCUAUUUAAAUAUCUUAAUCCCCAUAAGCUGACCUCAUUUCCAACCUCCAUUGUCACAAACCCUAGCCUUAAAACCCUAAUUCACUUUUGAGAGUUUUGAGCCAAUUUUUGUCUAUUCCUGGUGAUUUUGAAGAAGAAGGUACUUGAAGAAGGAGCAAUUAAGGACGUGUAGGAGGAGAGUAGAUCCAGAAGUUGGGCUUCAUUUCUGGUUCAUCUGAGGUACUUCCUCUUCGAAUGGAAAGGAGUCAGCAUGAUCGCAGCGCAUCACACUAAGUUUUUCGUACAUGAGAUCUUUGGGAGUUAUACUCUGAUGUUGUUUUAUCAUGACAUGUUUUCACUAUUGAUAUAUUGGUUUUGAUAUGAGUUGAUGCUAUAGAUGUUUUCAGACAAAUGGUUUUAUAAUUAUUAAAUUUAAAAUGAA